RNAcentral lists this ribosomal RNA (440 nucleotides) under uncultured bacterium. RNAcentral's name for it is "partial 16S ribosomal RNA". It matches the Rfam family "Bacterial small subunit ribosomal RNA", at positions 338 to 795 of the family's 1533-position model. The record is from RNAcentral.
CCUACGGGUGGCAGCAGUGGGGAAUAUUGGACAAUGGGCGGAACCCUGAUCCAGCGACGCCGCGUGAGUGAAGAAGGAUUUCGGUAUGUAAAACUCUAUCAGCAGGGAAGAAAAUGACGGUACCUGACUAGGAAUCCACGGCUAACUACGUUCCAGCAGCCGCGGUACUACGUAGGGGGCAAGCGUUAUCCGGAUUUACUGGGUGUAAAGGGAGCGUAGACGGUUCAGCAAGUCUGAUGUGAAAGGUCGGGGCCCAACCCUGGGACUGCAGUGGAAACUGGUGAACUUGAGUACAUGAGAGGCAAGCGGAAUGCGUGGUGUAGCGGUGAAAUGCGUAGAUAUCAGGAGGAACACCAGUGGCGAAGGCGGUUUACUGGACCGUAACUGACGCUGAGGCUCGAAAGCGUGGGGAGCAAACAGGAUUAGAUACCCGAGUAGUC